Molecule: small nuclear RNA, 161 nt
Organism: Mercurialis annua (annual mercury)
Lineage: Eukaryota; Viridiplantae; Streptophyta; Magnoliopsida; Malpighiales; Euphorbiaceae
Product: U1 spliceosomal RNA
Exons: 1
Source: RefSeq, a predicted model, not a curated record
AUACUUACCUGGACGGGGUCUAUAGGCGAUCCAUAAGAUCUAUGGCCUAGCUUGUUGGUCUCCAUUGCACUUUGGAGAUGCAACUGGUUAAAGUCUCCUCAAGUAGGAGAGCUUACGUCAUAAUUUGUGAUAGCUGGGGCCUGCGUUCGCGCGGCCCCUGC